CCUACGUGCGGCAGCAGUGGGGAAUAUUGGGCAAUGGGCGCAAGCCUGACCCAGCAACGCCGCGUGAAGGCAGAAGGCUUUCGGGUUGUAAACUUCUUUUCUGGGGGACGAACAAAUGACGGUACCCCAGGAAUAAGCCACGGCUAACUACGUGCCAGCAGCCGCGGUAAUACGUAGGUGGCAAGCGUUAUACGGAUUUAUUGGGUGUAAAGGGCGUGUAGGCGGGAAUGCAAGUCAGAUGUGAAAACUCAGGGCUCAACCCUGGGCCUGAAUUUGAAACUGUGUUUCUUGAGUGCUGGAGAGGCAAUCGGAAUUCCGUGUGUAGCGGUGAAAUGCGUAGAUAUACGGAGGAACACCAGUGGCGAAGGCGGAUUGCUGGACAGUAACUGACGCUGAGGCGCGAAAGCGGGGGGAGCAAACAGGAUUAGAUACCCCUGUAGUC
This 442-nucleotide ribosomal RNA is filed under the name uncultured bacterium. RNAcentral's name for it is "partial 16S ribosomal RNA". It matches the Rfam family "Bacterial small subunit ribosomal RNA", at positions 338 to 795 of the family's 1533-position model. The record is from RNAcentral.